AUGCGUCUCGGAUUUCUGCAUUUUGGAAUUCAGGUCAACCUGGACAUGUUCAGGGAAGUUAAUUAUCGGGUUGCCGAUCGCUUUGUUUGCUGCGACACUUGUGUUUUGGAAGUACUCUACCAAGCGCAGGAAUGUCACCUCCACUAUCGCACUGAGCGGAAGGCAUGUUAUCCCUUUCAAUACAGGGUCGUUCUUAUAUGCAUCAGUUGUAUCACUGCCCAUGAUGCCAUACCUUGCUCCAUCUCGAUCGUAUGCCAGUGA
This 261-nucleotide ribosomal RNA is filed under the name Triticum aestivum (bread wheat). RNAcentral describes it as "partial small subunit ribosomal RNA". Lineage: Eukaryota; Viridiplantae; Streptophyta; Magnoliopsida; Poales; Poaceae. The record is from RNAcentral.